UACGUAGGGGGCAAGCGUUGUCCGGAUUUAUUGGGCGUAAAGAGCGUGUAGGCGGCCUGGUAGGUCUCGCGUCAAAACCUGCGGCUCAACCGCAGUUCGCGUGGGAAACCACCUAGCUAGAGUCCGGAAGAGGAGAACGGAAUUCCUGGUGUAGCGGUGAAAUGCGCAGAUAUCAGGAAGAACACCCGUGGCGAAAGCGGCUCUCUGGAACGGUACUGACGCUGAGACGCGAAAGCGUGGGGAGCGAACAGG
This 252-nucleotide ribosomal RNA is filed under the name uncultured bacterium. RNAcentral describes it as "partial 16S ribosomal RNA". It matches the Rfam family "Bacterial small subunit ribosomal RNA", at positions 524 to 776 of the family's 1533-position model. The record is from RNAcentral.